This 360-nucleotide ribosomal RNA is filed under the name Triticum aestivum (bread wheat). Its description in RNAcentral is "partial small subunit ribosomal RNA". Lineage: Eukaryota; Viridiplantae; Streptophyta; Magnoliopsida; Poales; Poaceae. The record is from RNAcentral.
AUUCUCUCAACGUUUGGAGAGAUCUCUGGGUUAAAGAUUAAUGAAGCCAAAUGUGUUAUCUACCCAAUAUAGUGCAAUGAUCUGAAUAUCUCUGAGUUGGUCCAACAGUUUGGAGGGCCGGGAGGCUCCUUUCCGUGCACUUAUUUGGGCCUUCCCCUCUCCACCCGCAAACUUAGACGGAUUGACCUUCAACCUUACUUGGAUAAAAGGGCUGCUAUGUUAAGAGCUUGGAAAGGAAGGCUUUUGCAACGAACCGGGAGGCUGGCUCUCAUCAAUUCGGUGGUCACUAGCACGGUGACCUUCUUUCUGACGAUCUUUGCACCUUACAAGUGGUUCAUAAUUAUUUUUUUGACAAACUAA